UGGGUGCCAGAGANGGUUAGAGCCCCGUCUUUGACUCGGUACCUCACCNUGGNGAGNACUCACCANAGAGUCGGGUUGCUUGGGAAUGCAGGUCAAAAUGGGUGGUAAACUUCAUCUAAAGCUAAAUAUUGGCGAGAGACCGAUAGCGAACAAGUACUGUGAAGGAAAGAUGGAAAGAACUUUGAAAAGAGAGUGAAAAAGGGCUUGAAAUUGUUAAGAGGACAAGUGAUUGGAGCAUAUCAUACAUGGCGGGAUCCUGGAGACGGGGCAAGCGCCCUGAAUUUUACCAUCCCGGCAUGUUGGUCAGCAUCGAUUCUGUGUGGGGGAGAAAGCGGAGCCGUUGGGAGUACCUCGGUACAAUCUCGGCAGCCAUUUGCAGAAACCCUGGACGGGAUCGAGGCAGUGAAGCCCACGCUUGGCGGCCGGCCCCUUGCUCGGGCGGCGUGUGGAUUGCGCACCCUUUUAGGCGUGCGUGUGUGCACGCUGCGUGAAGCCGGGGAGCGCUGGACCUGUGGGGUGAAGAUGCUGGCACAAAUGGCUUCCAUCAGCCCGUCUUGAAACACGGACCAAGGAGUCUAACACGUAUGCGAGUAGUAAGGUGGCAAACCUUGGAUGCGCAAUGAAAGUAAACGUAGGUGGGAUCCGCAAGGUGCACCAUCGACCGACCAGGAGCCAGCCAGCAAUGGCUGCAAAAGGUUUGAGUAAGAGCAUAUUUGUUGGGACCCGAAAGAUGGUGAACUAUGCCUGAAUAGGGUGAAGCCAGAGGAAACUCUGGUGGAGGCUCGUAGCGGUACUGACGUGCAAAUCGUUCGUCAAAUUUGGGUAUAGGGGCGAAAGANUAAUCGAACCAUCUAGUAGCUGGUUCCCUCCGA
This is a ribosomal RNA of 872 nucleotides. It matches the Rfam family "Eukaryotic large subunit ribosomal RNA", at positions 197 to 964 of the family's 3401-position model.